RNAcentral lists this ribosomal RNA (478 nucleotides) under uncultured bacterium. RNAcentral describes it as "partial 16S ribosomal RNA". It matches the Rfam family "Bacterial small subunit ribosomal RNA", at positions 28 to 523 of the family's 1533-position model. The record is from RNAcentral.
GACGAACGCUGGCGGCGUGCUUAACACAUGCAAGUCGAACGGUAAGGCCCUUCGGGGUACACGAGUGGCGAACGGGUGAGUAACACGUGGGUGAUCUGCCCUGCACUUCGGGAUAAGCCUGGGAAACUGGGUCUAAUACCGGAGAGGACCACUGCCUGCAUGGGUGGUGGUGGAAAGGUUUUGCGGUGUGGGAUGGGCCCGCGGCCUAUCAGCUUGUGGGUGGGGUGAUGGCCUACCAAGGCGACGACGGGUAGCCGGCCUGAGAGGGUGACCAGCCACACUGGGACUGAGAUACGGCCCAGACUCCUACGGGAGGCAGCAGUGGGGAAUAUUGCACAAUGGGCGCAAGCCUGAUGCAGCGACGCCGCGUGAGGGAUGACGGCCUUCGGGUUGUAAACCUCUUUCAGCACCGACGAAGCGCAAGUGACGGUAGGUGCAGAAGAAGGACCGGCCAACUACGUGCCAGCCGCCGCCGUAA